ACGACUCUCGGCAACGGAUAUCUCGGCUCUCGCAUCGAUGAAGAACGUAGCGAAAUGCGAUACUUGGUGUGAAUUGCAGAAUCCCGUGAACCAUCGAGUCUUUGAACGCAAGUUGCGCCCGAGGCCACCCGGCCGAGGGCACGCCUGCCUGGGCGUCACG
Molecule: ribosomal RNA, 160 nt
Filed under: Magnolia fordiana
Lineage: Eukaryota; Viridiplantae; Streptophyta; Magnoliopsida; Magnoliales; Magnoliaceae
Description: partial 5.8S ribosomal RNA
Rfam family: 5.8S ribosomal RNA
About the family: 5.8S ribosomal RNA (5.8S rRNA) is a component of the large subunit of the eukaryotic ribosome. It is transcribed by RNA polymerase I as part of the 45S precursor that also contains 18S and 28S rRNA.
Source: RNAcentral